UGCCAGCAGCCGCGGUAAGACGAACCGGACGAACGUUAUUCGGAAUCACUGGGCUUAAAGAGUCCGUAGGCGGCAUUGAAGGUGAGGUGUGAAAUCCCACGGCCCAACCGUGGAACUGCGCCUCAAACCACAAUGCUUGAGGGAGGCAGAGGUGAGCGGAACAGAUGGUGGAGCGGUGAAAUGCGUUGAUAUCAUCUGGAACACCGGUGGCGAAGGCGGCUCACUGGGUCUCUUCUGACGCUGAGGGACGAAAGCUAGGGUAGCGAACGGGAUUAGAUA
This 279-nucleotide ribosomal RNA is filed under the name uncultured bacterium. RNAcentral describes it as "partial 16S ribosomal RNA". It matches the Rfam family "Bacterial small subunit ribosomal RNA", at positions 506 to 784 of the family's 1533-position model. The record is from RNAcentral.